AUUGGGCAGAAUUCCAGUCAAUUUGUUGUAUGAUAAAUCCAAGGACUGAAUUGCCUUGAGGGCAGAGAGCGACGGAGCUAUUUCGCCUGUCAAUUUCCUUGAACUGAGGUCCCCGUUCACAGUUCAUAGAAUCAUAAUCUAAGUAACGGUGUCCAGGGCAAAGAAAAUACAUAUUCUUAUGAAUUUAAAUGUGCACUACUCACAUUGAGAUGAUCCUUGGAGGAUUGUU
RNAcentral lists this unclassified non-coding RNA (229 nucleotides) under Hevea brasiliensis (rubber tree). The record is from RNAcentral. Lineage: Eukaryota; Viridiplantae; Streptophyta; Magnoliopsida; Malpighiales; Euphorbiaceae.